UAAGACAGAGGGCUCAAACGUUGUUCGGAAUUACUGGGCAUAAAGCGCACGCAGGCGGCUUGCUAAGUCGGGUGUGAAAUCCCUUGGCUCAACCGAGGAACUGCAUUCGAUACUGGUAGGCUCGAGGACGGGAGGGGUAAGCGGAACUCCAGGUGGAACGGUGAAAUGUGUAGAUAUCUGGAGGAACACCGGUGGCGAAAGCGGCUUACUGGCCCGUAUCUGACGCUCAUGUGCGAAAGCUAGGGGAGCAAACGGGAUUAGAUACCCCGGUAGUCCUAGCUGUAAACGAUGGGCACUGGGCAGUGGGAUUCCUAUGAUUCUCCCUGCCGUAGCAAAUGUGUUAAGUGCCCCGCCUGGGGAGUACGUUCGCAAGGAUA
Molecule: ribosomal RNA, 377 nt
Filed under: uncultured bacterium
Lineage: Bacteria
Description: bacterial SSU rRNA
Rfam family: Bacterial small subunit ribosomal RNA
Source: RNAcentral